Molecule: long non-coding RNA, 1503 nt
Organism: Coregonus clupeaformis (lake whitefish)
Lineage: Eukaryota; Metazoa; Chordata; Actinopteri; Salmoniformes; Salmonidae
Exons: 2
Source: RefSeq, a predicted model, not a curated record
CGCCUGUCUUUUCCAACCGUUUUCAUGACUGAACACGUGAUAGAUUAGGCCCUGUAUUUUGUAGUGGCAAUAUAAACUACACUGUUAUGUUUUGAAUCCCAACGAUUUCAAAGAAACAAUUAUGAUUGCGCUGCCUAUGCUUUCCCACAAGCUAUAAAUGCUGUUGUUCCCCCAGUUACAUUUUACAAGUGUCACAACACAUCACGUGUAACACAAGACAAGACAAAACAAGACAAGUCACUAAAUUUUAAAAACUGGUACUUCCUGGUAUGCCUUCCAAAAAACAAAUGGCUCCCUAAAGUAAAGUUACUUUGAUCAUUGUUGUAAAAGGUGGAUUUGCUCAUGAUCAAAAUAAUGUUCAUGUUCAGUUUGUCUGAAAUUUUCAGACCCCUCAAGGAGGGUCAAAUGUCAAGAUGAUUUGGAAUCAAACAAACAUUGAUUUGGAGUGAACUAUCACGUGAAUUACUUUUUUAACUCCCUCAGGACAUUAUGUCACAGCAAUUUUUAUUUUACAAUGAUCAGUCAGUCAUAGCAGUUGGCAAUAUUUUCUGUUAAUCUUUCAUUCAAUGUACUUUUCCAAAAUAAAUCCCCUCCAUCAGUAAAGUGCUUAUAUGUGGUGUGUAAAAAGAGACCGUAGAGAAAUCAUUCCCAGACCAUCUCUGGUGUAACUUCAGGAUGAGAAGAAUCAAUAGCCUACAGCAGAAUCAAGUGCAGCAUUGCCAAAGGAGAAGCAGGGAUGUUGUGUGAAAGCUCACUCUGGGUCAUGGAUCACCAUGAAGACUUGGAGAGAGAACCCACUCCUCAGCACGCCUCCCUAUCAGAGCCAACAUCAGAAAACAACAGAUACCGGGGCAGUUUCUACCCUCAUCUCUCCAAAUGCGCCAACAUCGAGGUCGAUGACAGGGAAAAUAAGGAAAACCAUACAAGGAAAGAGGUGGGGAACCAGAGAUCGUCUCAUCAAGAAAAGAGACUGGUCCAAGGAGACCAAGUAGUGAGGAAUAUGGCAUCAUCACCUCAUUCUACAGAGCGGUUUGGACCAACAGGGAGAGGGAAGUCAUCAGGAGCCGGACGGACACCGGUACCCUGUCAGCCGUCAUCUCCAAGCCUGACGCAGAGUCAAACUAAAAACGAUGUAGUGUAAAGCCCGCCUCUUCAUUCUCCAUGGACACAUUUAACAGUGGCUUAUGGAACAAGGUUAUUUAUUUUGUAUGUCAUUUUAUUAUCCUUCAUAACCUGUGCUUGUUAUCCUGUUCAACCCUUCCUGUGAAUUAAAUAGCCCUAUAGGCCUAUUGCUUAUUCCAUUUCUUUGAUUGAAGGAUGUUCAUUUAUUGGCUGUGAAUGUGCAGUGUUUAUACAUCGUUUUUUCAACUAUUUAUUAUUGAUGGAGACGAAGCCAGCCUUCACAUUCACCAUCACUGGAACACUGUAACAGGAUAGCAUGGAAUUAAUCAUGUACUCUAUUCUGUAUUGAUGUUAGGAUAGGCCUGCACUUGUUUCUUAUCA